CAAAUUGUAGCUUAACCAAAGCCUUCGCUUACACCGAAAACAUGUCCACUAAACCCGGACCACUUUGA
RNAcentral lists this transfer RNA (68 nucleotides) under Pithecopus rohdei (Rohde's leaf frog). RNAcentral's name for it is "tRNA-Val". Lineage: Eukaryota; Metazoa; Chordata; Amphibia; Anura; Hylidae. The record is from RNAcentral.